RNAcentral lists this ribosomal RNA (339 nucleotides) under uncultured bacterium. Its description in RNAcentral is "bacterial SSU rRNA". It matches the Rfam family "Bacterial small subunit ribosomal RNA", at positions 29 to 391 of the family's 1533-position model. The record is from RNAcentral.
AACGAACGCUGGCGGCAGGCCUAACACAUGCAAGUCGAACGCCCUAGCAAUAGGGAGUGGCAGACGGGUGAGUAACACGUGGGAACCUUCCCUAUAGUACGGAAUAUACCAGGGAAACUUGGAGCAAUACCGUAUACGCCCGAGAGGGGAAGAUUAUCGCUAUAGGAUGGGCCCGGCGUAGGAUUAGCUAGUUGGUGAGGUAAUGGCUCACCAAGGCGACGAUCCUUAGCUGGUUUGAGAGAACGACCAGCCACACUGGGACUGAGACACGGCCCACGACUCCUACGGGGAGGCAGCAGUGGGGAAGUAUUGGACGAAUGGGCGGCAAGCCUGAUCCAG